CCUCAACUCACCUUCCAAGAAUGAUGGCACCAACGCAGCUGCCCGUUCCCCUUCCCCUUCCACUUUCGCUUUUAAUUCCCAACCUGUCCGGCCUCCCCCGCACCAUCUUCUUGGUUCAAAAAUCUGCCAUUGGUACAAGACGCCGGCUCCAAGGUCGCCAUCCAUGCCAAAUCGGCGGCUGCUAGCACUGCGCCUAGCAGCCACUGCUGGGCUCCUUCCGCCUGCCGCGGCUCGAUGGAUCCGAUGGGGAUGAGAAGAAUAAGGAGUGUGGCGGCUAUGAGGGGUAGAGAAGCAAGGGAUCAUGGCGGAGUGUGGCAGCGGCAAUGAAAGCUAGAUGGGACAAAUCUCUAAUGUAUAAGGGUCCUUACUUGCUGGCAUGCACAUCAAUUAUCUGCCAAAAUUUCAUACUAAAGUGGGCGAAAUUUUUGCACAUGGUGGUUUGUUAGCGGGCCUCAAAAGCGUUGCAGUUCCUCAUACAGCGGGUGCAUGUUCUGAAAACGAUCUUAACAAGUCUCAGCACAUGAAGUGGCAUGGUUGCAAAGAAUGACAUGACUGAAUGGUCGAUGGCCAUGAUACGAUCUGGAUGUACAUAUAGUCUUUGAGGCUAGCAGAAGUGUAGAACUUUGAGAGAAAGCUUGAAGCAAGGAUGCAUGUAGACCUAUCAAGCAUGUAUUUUUUGCAAGGUGUAUAUGUAGUCUUUAAGGCCAGCAGAAUCUUCAGAUGUCCGUUUGUUGUAUAUAGUUAUAUCUGAUGAUAUAUUGAUUGAUUGCUCUCUAUUGGCCAAAUUAUGGAUGUAGUUCCACAUGUUUGUCAGACAUGGAAAAUCUACGGAAUUUGUUGUUGUUACUGAAAA
This is a long non-coding RNA of Triticum dicoccoides, 853 nucleotides long. RefSeq lists it as uncharacterized. The transcript has 4 exons. NCBI's taxonomy places the organism in Eukaryota, Viridiplantae, Streptophyta, Magnoliopsida, Poales, Poaceae. The record is from RefSeq and is a predicted model, not a curated record.